Molecule: unclassified non-coding RNA, 153 nt
Filed under: soil metagenome
Description: partial internal transcribed spacer 1
Source: RNAcentral
GUGAUUAAAUCGAGCGUGUCUUCAUUGACCGCUCUCCCUUCUCACCAUCCACAUACACCUGUGCACUGUUUAGCCUGAGCCGGUUUUCCGGUCCAGGUUAUCAUUUCAUACAAACUCUAGUCUUAUGAAUGUAAACGUUUUAAUAACAUAAUA